This 967-nucleotide ribosomal RNA is filed under the name uncultured bacterium. RNAcentral describes it as "bacterial SSU rRNA". It matches the Rfam family "Bacterial small subunit ribosomal RNA", at positions 1 to 897 of the family's 1533-position model. The record is from RNAcentral.
UUUUUUUUUUUCAUCUACAGACAACGCAGCGCCGGUCGCUCUGUCGUCUUCUUCUCUCUCACUUCUUCUUAGAGUUUGAUCCUGGCUCAGGAUGAACGCUAGCUACAGGCUUAACACAUGCAAGUCGAGGGGCAGCGGGAUUGAAGCUUGCUUCAAUUGCCGGCGACCGGCGCACGGGUGAGUAACGCGUAUCCAACCUUCCGUACACUCAGGGAUAGCCUUUCGAAAGAAAGAUUAAUACCUGAUGGUAUGAUGAGAUUGCAUGAUAGCAUCAUUAAAGAUUUAUCGGUGUACGAUGGGGAUGCGUUCCAUUAGGUAGUAGGCGGGGUAACGGCCCACCUAGCCAACGAUGGAUAGGGGUUCUGAGAGGAAGGUCCCCCACAUUGGAACUGAGACACGGUCCAAACUCCUACGGGAGGCAGCAGUGAGGAAUAUUGGUCAAUGGACGAGAGUCUGAACCAGCCAAGUAGCGUGAAGGAUGAAGGUCCUACGGAUUGUAAACUUCUUUUAUAAGGGAAUAAACCCUCCCACGUGUGGGAGCUUGUAUGUACCUUAUGAAUAAGCAUCGGCUAACUCCGUGCCAGCAGCCGCGGUAAUACGGAGGAUGCGAGCGUUAUCCGGAUUUAUUGGGUUUAAAGGGAGCGCAGACGGGUCGUUAAGUCAGCUGUGAAAGUUUGGGGCUCAACCUUAAAAUUGCAGUUGAUACUGGCGUCCUUGAGUGCGGUUGAGGUGUGCGGAAUUCGUGGUGUAGCGGUGAAAUGCUUAGAUAUCACGAAGAACUCCGAUUGCGAAGGCAGCGCACUAAUCCGUAACUGACGUUCAUGCUCGAAAGUGUGGGUAUCAAACAGGAUUAGAUACCCUGGUAGUCCACACGGUAAACGAUGGAUACUCGCUGUUGGCGAUAUACUGUCAGCGGCUUAGCGAAAGCGUUAAGUAUCCCACCUGGGGAGCACGCCGGCAACGGUGA